UGGGGUGUCGCCAAGCGGUAAGGCACAGGACUCUGACUCCUGCAUUCCAAGGUUCGAAUCCUUGCACCCCAGCCA
This 75-nucleotide transfer RNA is filed under the name Gammaproteobacteria bacterium. Its description in RNAcentral is "tRNA-Gln". It matches the Rfam family "tRNA". Rfam says of the family: Transfer RNA (tRNA) molecules are approximately 80 nucleotides in length. Their secondary structure includes four short double-helical elements and three loops (D, anti-codon, and T loops). The record is from RNAcentral. Lineage: Bacteria; Pseudomonadati; Pseudomonadota; Gammaproteobacteria. RNAcentral also lists the same sequence under 1 other name.